GGCCGCUGUCCUGGGGAAAUAUUUGUCUUGAAAACAAAUAAAAAGUGUUCGAUUCACUUAGCUGCCU
RNAcentral lists this transfer RNA (67 nucleotides) under Ifremeria nautilei. RNAcentral describes it as "tRNA-Ser". It matches the Rfam family "tRNA". From Rfam's summary of the family: Transfer RNA (tRNA) molecules are approximately 80 nucleotides in length. Their secondary structure includes four short double-helical elements and three loops (D, anti-codon, and T loops). Lineage: Eukaryota; Metazoa; Mollusca; Gastropoda; Provannidae. The record is from RNAcentral.